RNAcentral lists this long non-coding RNA (3450 nucleotides) under Homo sapiens (human). RNAcentral's name for it is "HSALNT0386744". Lineage: Eukaryota; Metazoa; Chordata; Mammalia; Primates; Hominidae. The record is from RNAcentral.
ACUCCCAACUCGCAGGCAGAACGGGGCCAAGUCCACCUGGGCCUCGCGCUGCAGGGGGUGGUGCACGAAGAGAGGGUGUGUGUGUGUGUGUGUGUGUGUGUGUGUGUGUGUGUGUGUGUGUGUGUGUGUGUGCAUGGGGGGGCGGGGGGUAGGCAGGAGAGGCCAAGGGCAUACUCACAGACCAUCUGUUUUGGAUUUUUCUGGUAAUACAGAAAACCUCAGAGGACCUAGAGGUUGAUACCUGCCUGUCCAUUUCUCUCUUCAGCCCAGGUUCGGGAAAGCAAAUUCAGGCUGCAGGACAGCUGCCCGGGCCCCCCACAAGCCUGGCACCAGCCCAGGGAAGACUGAGGAGCCUCACUCCAUGGGGACUGAGCUCCUUCCCUUGCGUUCUGUUCCACACACUUUUUGGGCUGGAAGAAUCCCCUGGCUAGAGAAGCUCAUGUCCUGGUGGUGGAAGAGAUGCCGCCCUACAGCCCAAGGCCUUAUGCAAAGCAGCAAACACCUGAACACAGCGAACCUGAAGGUAUAGGGCAUCUUCAGGCUGCUACUGAGGCGGUCCUGCCGCACUCAACCCAGAACCUCAUCACUAAAAGGAACCUCAUGGUUCAGGCUAGAGUGCAGUGGCGCGAUCUCGGCUCACUGAAACCUCCGCCUCCCAGGUUCAAGCAAUUCUCCUGCUUCAGCCUCCCAAGUAGCUAGGAGUACAGACAUGGUCUCACUCUGUUAUCCAGGCUAGAGUGCAGUGGUGUGAUCUCAGCUCACUUCAACCUCUGGCUCAAGUGAUCCUCCCACCUCAGCCUCCCCAAGUAGCUGGGACUACAGGCACACGCCACCAGGCCCAGAUAAUUUUUUGUAUUUUCAGUAAAAACAGGGUCUCGCCAUGUUGCCCAGACUGGUCUUAAACUCCUGAGCUCAAGCGAUGUGCCUGCCUUGGCCUCCCCAAGUGCUGGGAUUAGAGGCAUAAGCCACCAUGUCUGGCCCCCAGUGGCUUCUAAUCCGCCCUAUCUAUCCAUCAAGCCUGGGUGGGGUGGGCUUGCUCAGUGUCCUUCAGAUUCCUUCAUCAAUUAACUCUUUUGUGUACGAGGGUGUCCCAAAAGCAGCAGCCGCGAGUAGAAUUUGCCUUGGGUCAUUGCUGUAGUCUCCCGCAUCCAGGAAAGAUCUAGGCCGCUCGCUUUCCACAAACCUUCUGGCUGAAACAAGCCACUUACCUGGCUGCAGUGAAGACACUGAUGCCGCUACUGAAGCUGGAGUCACAGGAACCAUCUGGACCUCCUGGGAGAGGAAGAGGAACAAGGGGUCAUGAAAGGCUGUUGGCUCUCUUGAAUAAACAAGACCCCUGUGACAAGCACACACAGAACUCUCCAGAGCCCCAUACCUUGAUUCAGGCUCUUCAAAAGGACCAUGGCUCUGGAGCCCUGAGGACCCAACCAACGCCCAGUCAUUCUCGAUAGUCCCCAAGCUUGUAAGUCUGUAGUCACAGUGAUCUCACAAGGAGGGGACACCAGUGCUAAACACAUCUGUCAAAUCUCAGAAGGGAUCACUGGCCUGAGGGGAAUGGAUGUUUAAAAUGACAGAUAAUACCCAGCAUCCUUAGCUAUCAGGAAAAUGCAAAUCCAAACCACAAGAUACUACUGUACACCCAUCAGGAUGGCUAAAAUAAAAGACAAAUAAUAGCAAGUGUUGAUGAGAAUGUGGAGAAACUGGAACCCUCGUACAUUGCUGGUGGGAAUGUAAAAUGGUGCAAGCUGCUUUGGAGAACAGUCUGGCCAUUCCUCCAAAGGCUAAACAUAGUCACCACAUGACUCAGCAGCUCCACUCCUAGGUAUAUGCCAAAGAGAAAUGAAAACUUAUGGCCACAUGAAACCUUGUAUAUCAAUCAUGUUCACAUCAGCAUUAUCUACAAUAGCCAAAAAGCAGAAGCAACCCAAAUAUCUAUCAACAGAUGAAUGGAUAAAUGAGGUGUGGUAUAGCCAUACAAUGGACUAUUAUUUGGCAAUAAAAAGGGAUGAAGUACUGAUGCACGCCAUAAAAAUGAACUUUAAAAACAUUGUGUUAAGUGAAAGAAGCCAGUCAUAAAAGACUACAUAUUGUAUCCCUUUCUCGAAAGUGUUUAGAACAGGCAAACCUAUGGAGACGGAAAAUGGACUGGAGGUUGCCUAGGACUGGAGGAGACGGGGGAAUAGGGUAUAAUGGCUAAUGGAUUCUUUCAAGGGCACGGAAAAUAUUCUAAAAUUGAUUGUGGUGAUGGUUACAUAACCCUGUGAAUCUACAAAGUCACUGAAUUGUACACUUGAUGUUGGGUGAAUUGUGUGGUACAUGAAUUCUAUCUCAAUAAAGGGCUUAAAAAAUGACUUUGGGGAAAGGACUGUGACUGCACUGUGUCUGUGCCCGAGUCUUCCUCCAAGUGGCCAACUCAAUACCUGUCUUAGUAUUUAACUUACCAUCAUAUAACCCAGGGUAGAAAAGCAUCUACCUGGCAUCGACUACUUAUUUUUCUCAGUUAAGGAAUAACCUUUAAAUUCCAACCUUUUUCUUUUGGCAUCUAAUCAAGUUUCCUAAAGAGCCAAGAUGUUCUAGAUCUGGAAAGCUGCUGGUAGGAUCCUGUUCCGCCUUCAGUCCCCGUCUAGGCACUGGCCACAGCUCUCACUGCACUGAGGAGGGAAGAGGGGGCUGGCAGUCCUGCAGUGCUUGGGGUGGGAGGUGCUAUAGGAAAAAAUUCCAGACUCCUGAUACUAAUUUUUUGUAGUUGUGAAAUAAUUUUAGAUGUACAGAAAAGUUGCAAAAAGAGUAAAGAAUUCUUUUUAUACCCUUUAGCCAGCUGCCCCUAAUGCUAACAUUGUACAUACCCAUAGUUCAAUUAUUAUUAUUAUUAUUUUUUUUUGAGAUAGAGUCUUGGCUCUGUUGCCCAGGCUGGAGUGUAGUGGCACAACCUUGGCUCACUGCAAUCUUCGCCUCCUGCACUCAAGAGAUUGAGCCCACCUCAGCUUCCAGGGUAGCUGGGACUAUAGGCACGUACCAUUAAGCCCGGAUAAUUUUUUUUUUUUUUGUAUUUUCAGUAGAGAUGGGGUUUUGUCGUGUUACCCAGGCUGGUUACAAACUCCUGGGCUCAAGUGAUCCACCCACCUCAGCCUCCCAAAGUGCUGGGAUUACAGGCGUGAGCCACCAUGCCCGGCUCCAUAGUUCAAUGAUCAAACCCAGAAGGUUAACUUCGAUACACUACCAUUAACUAAAUGAUUACCCUAAUUUGAACAUCACGAGUUUUUCCAUUCCUGGCCUUUUGUUCCAGGAUCUCACACUGCAUUUAGCUAAACUGUCUUCUUUGUCUCCUCCAAUCUGUUGCAGCCCCUCAAUCUGUGUGUCUUUCAUAAACUUGACACUUUUGAAGCGCUGGUCACUCUGCAGAAUGUCUCCCCGUUUGGGUUGGUCUCACGUUUUCUCACGAGUAGGGAG